Molecule: long non-coding RNA, 2834 nt
Organism: Canis lupus familiaris (dog)
Lineage: Eukaryota; Metazoa; Chordata; Mammalia; Carnivora; Canidae
Exons: 3
Source: RefSeq, a predicted model, not a curated record
UGACAACAGUGGAUUCUGAAUGAGCGCCUAUAAAACAUCUAUUCUCUCUUCUGAGAGCACCAUUCCAAUGUUCUUGGAGGGGAACUACCAUCUCUCACGUGUGUUCCAGGGUGCAGGAGAGGAGAACUCCAGUCCCAGUCCCAGGGGCAUCUGAUGAGAGUAGAUUCUGUGAAUCUUUUUUCACUGCUACACGUAUGAUACCCAGCCCAGCUCUUGGUAUAGAAAAAGAUGUCCAAAAGAUAUUCAUUGCAUGACUGAAAGACUGAACAGCCAAUGGACCAAUGAAGUGACAGACCAAAUAAUUGCUAGAACCACAGACCAAACGAUGAAUGACCAACUGAGUGAUUCAAUGAAUGAAGGAAUGAACAUAUGAACGAAUGAUGGAGACUGGUCAUGUAAAUUCAACUGGAUAUGAAAAUAUUGUCCUAGCAUGACAACAGAUGAGACUAUUAAAUAUAGGAUUUUAACUUGGAAAAUGUAAGGUCUUUAGGAGGAUAUAUAAUACUUGUUUUUUGAAUAUCUUAGAAUUCAGUUCUUCCUCCACCCCCAUCAAUGAUAGGAUGGGUGAUAAUACACUACUGGAAAACAUUACUCAUUCCACACUCACAUGGCCCUCAAAUUGCACAUCCCUCCCACUCUCCAUCAUGAACCAGAAUCUGCUUGACAGUUUCUGGCCUCAGCGUGUCUAUCUAUGUCAGAUGACAUCAUGGCCCAACCAUGUGUCUUGGGCUGUGAGAACAACUUGGGGAAAUCAACAAGAAGUCCCAGAUCUUUUGAUGCCUAAUUUCUGAUAACUAAGAAUCUUUCCUGAAAUCUCCCAUCCACCCCUUUCUUCUUGGUGAGCUCAUCUUGUCUUUCCAGAAAGGCUGAUCAGUGGCAAGGCAUUGCUGGACUUCGUCAGGGGGAUUUGGUGUCUUCAUACCUUGUUCAUCAGCCACAGGACACACUCAUCUUUCAAGAGUUCUGGAAUUCUGCCCAUGAAUGUCUGAACAUUCUGCUGCAAUCCCAAAGGACCUCUUAGAAUGUACAUGUUUAGUCACAGAAGAUCCAAGCUGUUUUUAAAUUAAAACCUGCCUCGAAUGAACAUAAAAUGACCAGUGAGCUGUAUUUUGACUAUCCUCCUAAGAAUCUUGUGACUGUAACAACACAAAUAGAACACUCGUUAAUGCCAUUUUCCUGGUGUAAGGGAAGGGGAGAGACUACCAAAUGCAGGCUGAUGAAAACCAUAAAGGUCACUAGGAAGAUUUUCUAAAAGAACCAAGUGUGAUGGCUACUUGCCUGGAAAUUAGUAAAUAAUAAUUAUGCAGUUAUGACAUCUUUUCUAUGUCAGGCAAGAGACUGCAUACUUUCUAUACAUCAGCACAUUUAAUCUGCCUGGAAGUACUAUGAUAUUGGUAUUAGUGCUUCUAUUGUACAGGUAGGUAAGUUGAGUUUCCAAAUAGGUGCCCAUGCAGGGAUGAGAACCAAAUGUGCCUGACUUCAAACCUGAUGUUCCUACCCCUCCAAUAGGCUGCAACACAGCACCUGAGAUAAGGGAAAGCAUGACUGCUGACAAAGUGGAAUGGAACUGUAGAAUAUAACUUAGGCAGGACAAAACAGUACCUGAAGUCUAGAGGGGAAAAGACCUUGUGAACACAUGACCAACAGUUUUCCAAUAGAUCAACUGUCAUCCUAUAAGAAAGGGAGAGCCCUUCCAAUAGAUCACAAAGGCUGGAAAGAACAGGUAGGGUCUAGGAAGACAGAUGGAAGCCAAGGUGACACAGAACUCUGUAACAGUGAGAGAUGUUCACAACUGAGAGAAUGAGUUCUUGAACACGGGAAGUGUCCAAGCAGAGGGUAGGUGCUAAAACAGUGGAUGGUAUACCUUUGAGGUCCUGGCCCUCUGUCUGAAUUGGGUAGAUGUCCACUAACCAUCUGAGAAGCUUACCCCUAUUUGUGCCCAAUCACCAUCUGCCACAAGCAUGCAAGUAAAACCAUGUCUGCAGAAACAGUCUAACACAAGUUUUAUCUCCCUGAGGCUACAGGAGGGAAUCAUGGGAACUGUUACUCUGAAUCUCUUUGUGAUAAACAAGGAAGAACUGGGGGACAUUGGAAGGGAGAGAAAUCUUGGGAGAGGAAGGAAACCAUGGGUAUUACUUUGUGCCAAGCCAUGGGUUGGGUGCUUCACACAUGCUUCCUCAUAAAGCAGGGUGCUGCUGUUUGAAAGUAGGGCUGAUCAUUUCCAUCCUACAGCUAAAAUAGUUAAGAGGAAAAAGUUAAUUUGCCCAUAGCCACAUGGCUAAUAAAUAGGAUAUAACCAAGGCUCAAACUCAGAUAUGCCUGACUUCAAAACCCUCAUUCUUUUCUCAAUGGUUUGCUGCCAAACCCAGUGAGGGAGUUUGGGCAGGAUAUUGAGAGAAGGUGCUUAGGACAGGUGGAUUUGGAUGAGCAGAAGAAGAAUAAGAAGGCUGCAGAAUGCAGUAAAACACAAGAGAGUAGGUCAGAAUUUGAUGCUCAGACAGGCAAUUUAAUCACUGAGCAAAGGCAGGCAACAGAGAGGAAAUGGAUCAAGCCAGACAUCAUCUCUUUCACAUAGCAUUCUACUUUUGACCUUGAACCCAAGCCAUAGAACUGGUUCCAAAUUACGAGUGAUACAAGUUCUUAAAUAGAACCUCAGACAUUUUAAUCUGAACAAAACCCAUAUAUGUCAACUUUGCCCCAAGGGUAAUAUACAGAAAAAUAUACAUUUUUUUUCUCCAGAGUAUCCCAUGAUUUCAAUAUCCCAUAAAGAGAUGUUACCAGGUAACAUAGGUUCAUAAGGCUUUGGAAAAUUAAGAUGCCAAGAUGGUAAACAG